GAUGAACGCUGGCGGCGUGCCUAACACAUGCAAGUCGAACGAAGCCUUCGGGCUUAGUGGCGGACGGGUGAGUAACGCGUUAGUACCUGCCCUAAAGUGGGGAAUAACUCGGCGAAAGUCGAGCUAAUACCGCAUGUGCCCGUUUACGGGUAAAGCCUUCGGGCGCUUUAGGAGGGGCUUGCGUCUGAUUAGCUAGUUGGUAAGGUAAUAGCUUACCAAGGCAAUGAUCAGUAGCUGGUCGAGAGGAUGACCAGCCACACUGGGACUGAGAUACGGCCCAGACUCCUACGGGAGGCAGCAGUGAGGAAUCUUCCGCAAUGGACGAAAGUCUGACGGAGCAACGCCGCGUGCAGGAUGACGGUCUUCGGAUUGUAAACCUCUGUUGCCCGGGACGAAUAGCGGAUUUUUCCGACUUGACGGUACCGGGUGAGGAAGCACCGGCUAACUCCGUGCCAGCAGCCGCAGUAAG
RNAcentral lists this ribosomal RNA (469 nucleotides) under uncultured bacterium. RNAcentral's name for it is "bacterial SSU rRNA". It matches the Rfam family "Bacterial small subunit ribosomal RNA", at positions 28 to 524 of the family's 1533-position model. The record is from RNAcentral.